GAGCAUUUCCAGCAAAAGUGUGAAACGCCUACGCGGGGAAAUCAGUCCACUGGACUGAUUUCUGAUCCCGCUUCGAUACGCAGGAUAAUGCGAUAAAACAAAUAGUUAGAGCGGUUCUAACGAUUCCGUUUUAACCGGAACCGCUCUAUAGCCACUUGUCGUAAUCAGACACAAGCAGAUGCAAGGGCUGCU
This 192-nucleotide unclassified non-coding RNA is filed under the name Brucella sp. 191011898. Its description in RNAcentral is "BASRCI153". The record is from RNAcentral. Lineage: Bacteria; Pseudomonadati; Pseudomonadota; Alphaproteobacteria; Hyphomicrobiales; Brucellaceae.